CGUAAGGAGAGAUAAUUGUACGAGUUAAGCGGGUUCAAACCACCACUUCAAGCUCCACCGUCGCCAUCCUCUGCACCGAGUUUGUUGAAAUGACCGCCAAUGUUCAUCCAAUACCCACACAUAUGUUCAGGUUCUGCAGCCACGACCAACUCAUGCUGUUGGAAAACACAAACAUCGACUUUCCAGGUUAUGCUUGGGCAUAUAAAUAAUAAUUGAUUUCAUCGGUCUUCUAAAUCCCUCAUCGUCUCGAGGAGAGGAUUUAGAAAAAUCAAUCCCAAGGAAAGGCUCUCAAUUCUAAAGCCUUGAAGCUUUUUCUCCAACUCUCUUCACUCUGUCUCAGUUCUAAAGCCUUCACUUCAAGUGUGAAUGUUUACUUGGAAGCUGGCUUAUUCUGAGGAGCUUGACAUCCGCAAAACGUUCCCAGCCUUGGACGCUAGAAAUACUUAAUUAAAAGAGCCAAAAAGACAGCACAAGCCCAAGAGGGGUCCAAUUACAUAUGAGAGUUUCUGAGUACGACAUUUGCUAAUGCAUCUGCCUCCUCAUUGUUCUCUCUCGAGACAUGAAAAAAAUCUAAAGAAACAAAAGCAGAGGAAAGAUUGUGAAUGUCUUUGAUGAUUCCUUGUAGCUCCUUCCUCUGUAUUUUGUGAGUAAUUGCUCUAAUGAGCGUUAAGUUGUCUGAGCAGCACCAGAGAUUCGAGAUCCCUUGAUUCGCCGCCAUGAAUAGACCUUCUCUGAUCGCCAGCGCCUCCCCGACUAGAGGUGAAUUGACAAAGUCAUGUACCGAUGAUCCUCUCCUAACCUCCGAUGUCAACUCUCCCUUGAUUACCCAUGCAAGUCCGGCUCUGAAUCGGGUAGCUUCCCACGCUGCGUCCGACAUACAAACCGCGA
Long non-coding RNA from Brassica oleracea var. oleracea, 888 nucleotides. RefSeq lists it as uncharacterized. The transcript has 3 exons. The record is from RefSeq and is a predicted model, not a curated record. NCBI's taxonomy places the organism in Eukaryota, Viridiplantae, Streptophyta, Magnoliopsida, Brassicales, Brassicaceae.